RNAcentral lists this ribosomal RNA (376 nucleotides) under uncultured bacterium. Its description in RNAcentral is "bacterial SSU rRNA". It matches the Rfam family "Bacterial small subunit ribosomal RNA", at positions 523 to 898 of the family's 1533-position model. The record is from RNAcentral.
ACACGUAGGUGGCGAGCGUUGUCCGGAAUUAUUGGGCGUAAAGCGCGCGCAGGCGGUCCUUUAAGUCUGAUGUGAAACCUUGGGGCUUACCCUCAAGCGUGCAUUGGAAACUGGGGGACUUGAGUCCAGAAGAGGGGAGUGGAAUUCCACGUGUAGCGGUGAAAUGCGUAGAGAUGUGGAGGAACACCAGUGGCGAAGGCGGCUCUCUGGUCUGGGACUGACGCUGAGGCGCGAAAGCGUGGGGAGCAAACAGGAUUAGAUACCCUGGUGGUCCACGCCGUAAACGAUGAGUGCUAGGUGUUGGGGGGGUAAGCUCCUCAGUGCUGAAGUUAACACAUUAAGCACUCCGCCUGGGGAGUACGACCGCAAGGUUGAA